AUGCCCUCCUGGAAUGACGAGGAGAGCUCGGACGAGGACACCUGCAUGGUUUCAAUGGAUCCUCAGCUCUUUGAAACCCCUGACAGUGUGGUGGAACCAUCUUUCCGUGGUUCUUACACUGAAUCUGAGCCGACGUGCAUGAUGCAUCAUCAGAGGCCGAAGAAGAUGGUAGCUUUUGAAGGUGUCAACUGUGGGGUGGUGGAGUGGGUAGAUGGUCCUUGGCCAGAGAUUCUACAAAGGUGCCUAGGAAGGAUUUGGGACAUGUACCAUGAGCAGAACUUGAGUAGGGUGAAGGACAAACAAGCUCAUGAGAAAGAGGUGGGCAAGUUAAAGAAGGGAAUUGAGUUUCUGUCAAACAACUACAGCCAGUUGGUGGAAGAUGUGUCCAAGCUUUUUGACUAUCAAGAUGGCAAGAUGUCUCAUGACAUGGACUAUACCAGUCAGGCAAUCAAUGAACUAAAUGAGAAUAAGAAGCAACUUGAGGAUCAGGCAAAGAUUGAGUUAAGUAUGGAAAAGCUGAAGCUUGCCAAGGAGCAAAGGUGCAUUCUUCAAAGCCAAGCAGAUAUCAUUCAGAACAUGAGGAAGGCCAUGAAGGAAGUGGAGGGAGACAGGGACCUACUUAAGCAAGAGAAGAAGAAGCUGGAGUAUCUUAUUGCCGAUCUGCUCAAUGCUGGGCAUGCUAGCAAAGAUAAGCUGGAGAGGAUCUAG
This 708-nucleotide ribosomal RNA is filed under the name Triticum aestivum (bread wheat). RNAcentral describes it as "partial small subunit ribosomal RNA". The record is from RNAcentral. Lineage: Eukaryota; Viridiplantae; Streptophyta; Magnoliopsida; Poales; Poaceae.